CCUCCCUUGCUGAGUGCACGCGCGACUUCAACG
Molecule: non-coding RNA, 33 nt
Filed under: Chrysotila carterae
Lineage: Eukaryota; Haptophyta; Isochrysidales; Isochrysidaceae
Source: RNAcentral